ACAGAUUUAAAGAUGCAUAUCCUGAGGUUUGGGUUAAGAAGGAGUAGGUUUCCUGAAACCCGGAGAUAUGUUUCAAACCUGGGACCCCUAGCUUCAGUCUUUAAUACCAAGCAUAAUAUUAGCUUGAACAUUCCAUCCUGGACCAGCGGAGAACGAACAGGAUUGUUUAAUGUUCCUGAACUGGAAAACAGCCAGGGUUUCCAGAUUAUUAAAGAUAAAUGUUUAGAAACUACGGAAACCCUGGUUACUGAAGCUUGCAACCCACAUAGACAAAGAAACGUGGCAGUGAUAUUUGAUGAUCUGAGUGACGAGUUGUGCCGUGUGGCCGAUCUUGCUGAGUUUAUUCGUCUAGCACAUCCGGACGAAUCAUUUGCCUCAGCAGCCCAGGAUGCAUGUAUAGAAGUAAGCGCCCUGGUGGAGACCUUAAACACUAAUAUCGGGAUAUACUCCGCCCUGAAGGAGAGCGUGGAGAAGGGGGACAGGUUCCCGGAGACCCAGGUGGAUAAACAUGUUGCUAAACUCUUCCUCCAGGAUUUUCAUCAGUGCGGGAUACAUCUUGGAGAGAAGGAUAGACAGGAGGUUGUAAAUAUUACUGAUAGAAUACUUAGAACAGGACAAACUUUCUCAUCAAAUUGUCAGUUAUCCAGAGCUGUGAGAACCUCCGUUCUUCCUAAACAGGUUCAAGGACACUUUCAUCAGGAAGGAGAUGUUGCCGUAGUUUCAGGACAUAAUCUGGAUUCUCCCAGUGAUAUGGUUCGUGAGGCAGCGUAUAAAAUCUACUACUGGAGAGAGGAGGAGCAGGAGGAGGUUUUAACAAGCAUGCUGCAGGAUAGGCAUUCUCUGGCACAACUUUGUGGUUAUGAAACAUUUGCACACCGUGCGCUCUCGCAUAGUUUAGCUGAGGCUCCGGAGAACCUGAAGCAAUUUCAUUCUGUUCUGGGAACUGGUUUGCAGUCCAGGGUGGCAAAGGAUCACGCUGCUAUUUUAAAUCUUAAACGAAGAACCAAUCCUCUUUGUAAACCGUUGGCAGUCUGGGAUAUUCCCUACUACUGUGCUCAGGCCAGGACAAGCUGGUUUAAGUUGGACACGGAGAAGAUCUCAGAAUAUUUCUCCCUUGGAGUUGCAAUGGAGGGUUUGAACGACCUGUUUAAAAGCUUGUAUGGAGUAAGGUUGGAAGUAGAUAAAACUGUGGAGGGAGAGCUAUGGUCUCCUGAUGUUUUUAAGCUUGCAGUACUAGACGAUAAUUCAUUACUGGGAUACAUAUACUGUGAUUUCUUUGCCAGGUCCGGUAAACCCUAUCAGGACUGCCAUUUUACCAUCAGAGGUGGGCGUCAAAAGAACGAUGGUUCCUACCAAGAUCCUGUUGUAGUUCUGAUGUUGAACCUCCCUGCUCCAGGUUGGAGAACUCCAACCUUGUUAACUCCGUCCACACUGGACAACCUGUUCCACGAGAUGGGACACGCCAUGCACUCAAUGCUUGGUAGAACCAAAUACCAGCACGUGACGGGAACCAGAUGUUCAACAGACUUUGCCGAGGUUCCCUCCACCCUCAUGGAGUUCUUCGCCGCGGAUCCCAGGGUUCUCUCCAGAAUUAAUAAACAUUACAAGACGGGAGAAAGUUUACCAAUUGAUGUAAUUGAGAAACUUUGCGCAACAAAGAAGAUUUUUGCCGGAGUUGAAUUACAAUCCCAGCUUGUGUUCUCCGCUUUGGACCAGGAAUAUCAUGGGAAAAUGCCUUUGAAAGGAAACACAACUGACGUCCUUGAAGAUAUUCACGGUAGAUUCCAUUCCCUCCCAUUUGUACCCAACACAGCACCUCAGCUACGAUUCUCCCAUCUGGUUGGAUACGGAGCUAGAUACUACUCAUACCUUUAUGCUCGGUCUGUAGCAUCAGCUAUUUGGCAGACAAGUUUCCAGGAUGAUCCUUUCUCGGCUUCAGCUGGGAAAAGGUUUCGGGAUGAAUGUUUGUCUCACGGUGGAGGAAAGCGUAGCCUACUCCUGGUUUCAGAUUUUCUCCAAUAUGAGAUAAAACCGUCCCAGCUCGCUACAGCUUUACUUCACGAACUAGACGAGAAGAAUGAAACAGUCGAGAAACUGCUUCUAAAUAACUAAGAGAAAAAUCGGAUUAAAUUUAAUAUUUAACUAAAACUUAAUUUUUCUAUUUGACCGUAGUUUAAUAUCAAUUGGUAGGUUAUAAUAGAUUUUAUUCAGUAUUGUAAAAUAUCAGAAAGCUUGUUAAAGCUGUUUAAUUUAAUCAUUAUUUAUUCAUCGUUAAAUUCAUCCUGUUAAUUUAUUUCACGGUAUUCAUACAGAAACUGAUCAGUUCCAGAUAGGAUGGAGCAGUCGGAGUUCCUAGAACCAAGAUUGUCCUUGGAACAGAGCAGAGAGAGGGUUAUUCAUUCAUUCCUAACUACCAAACCGGAAAUCAGUAAUCUCGGAAGAUCGUCGGUUUUAGAUCAAGUGAAGAGCUUCCUCCCCACCAUGGCGACUGCGGACAAAGAUCUGAAGACCGCGAUCAAGAACGGAUUGGGUGAGAAGUUGAAUGUGGAGAAUGUGCAGGAAGAUGAGAAAUAUAUUGAGAUGGAUGUGGCUGUCCUGGACGACGGAGACACACCAUGGACCAGCGACUCCGAAGCUGACUCAACCCCCAGCCAAUCAGAAAAUGAUUUCACCAGUGAUUCAGACAUCUCCUCGUCCUCCGCCUGCUCCAGCAGUUCCUGCACCAGUUCAACAAAGUCAACAGUUAGAAAUAAAUCUCAGAAAAGACCUUUAGUAGAAGAUAUAUCAGAACCAGCCGCCAAAUCAACCAGAACGGAAUCCUGAUAUACUUUAUACAUAUAGUCUAGUAGCAAUUCUAUCAUAUGUCAAUCUAACAUUUUAGAAUAAUCAAAUAAUGUAAAAAGCAAUUCCAAACAUAUUCGAGGAUUCAGGAUCCUCAUCAGAAAAAAAGAAUAAUUUUUCUUGUUAGAGGCCAAUUUAACAUAAAAUAUGAUCCUAAUUAUGUUUUGAAAAUACCUUCAGCACAGAAAUAGACCAAGGACUUGUAAUACUAAUGAAGAAAUUUUAUUGAUCAGAACCUAGGUUUCUUGUUCUAUUGAUCCUCUAAAAAAAUCUAGUUUUUCUUUUAUGUUUUAAAAUUGUUCUUACUUCUGGAACCUAUGUCGAUUAAUUUACUGAAUAAUUUCAGAA
This 3189-nucleotide unclassified non-coding RNA is filed under the name Eurytemora carolleeae. Its description in RNAcentral is "periodic tryptophan protein 2 homolog". Lineage: Eukaryota; Metazoa; Arthropoda; Copepoda; Calanoida; Temoridae. The record is from RNAcentral.